GCAGUCGCCGCGGUAACACGUAGGGUGCAAGCGUUAAUCGGAAUUACUGGGCGUAAAGCGUGCGCAGGCGGUGUUGUAAGACUGAUGUGAAAUCCCCGGGCUCAACCUGGGAACUGCAUUGGUGACUGCAACGCUGGAGUGCGGCAGAGGGGGAUGGAAUUCCGCGUGUAGCAGUGAAAUGCGUAGAUAUGCGGAGGAACACCGGUGGCGAAGGCAAUCCCCUGGGCCUGCACUGACGCUCAUGCACGAAAGCGUGGGGAGCAAACAGGAUUAGAUACCCGAGUAGUUCCUGUCUCUUAUAC
RNAcentral lists this ribosomal RNA (302 nucleotides) under uncultured bacterium. RNAcentral's name for it is "partial 16S ribosomal RNA". It matches the Rfam family "Bacterial small subunit ribosomal RNA", at positions 508 to 807 of the family's 1533-position model. The record is from RNAcentral.